CCUACGGGUGGCAGCAGUGGGGAAUAUUGCACAAUGGGGGAAACCCUGAUGCAGCGACGCCGCGUGAAGGAAGAAGUAUUUCGGUAUGUAAACUUCUAUCAGAAGGGAAGAAAAUGACGGUACCUGACUAAGAAGCACCGGCUAACUACGUGCCAGCAGCCGCGGUAAUACGGAGGGUGCAAGCGUUAUCCGGAUUUACUGGGUGUAAAGGGAGCGUAGGCGGUUUAGCAAGUCAGAAGUGAAAGCCCGUGGCUCAACUACAGGACUGCUUUUGAAACUGUUGAACUAGAGUGCGGGAGAGGUAAGUGGAAUUCCUAGUGUAGCGGUAAAAUGCGUAGAUAUUAGGAGGAACACCCAUGGCGAAGGCGGCUUACUGGACUGUAAAUGACGCUGAUGCUCGAAAGCGUGGGGAGCAAACAGGAUUAGAUACCCGAGUAGUC
Molecule: ribosomal RNA, 440 nt
Filed under: uncultured bacterium
Lineage: Bacteria
Description: partial 16S ribosomal RNA
Rfam family: Bacterial small subunit ribosomal RNA
Source: RNAcentral